GCGCGAAAACUUUACAAUGCUGGCAACAGCGAUAAGGGAACCUCGAGUGCCAGGUUACAAAUCUGGCUGUCGAGAUGCCUAAAAAGCAUUUCAUAGCAAGGGCCGGGCAAGACCGGUGCCAGCCGCCGCGGUAACACCGGCGGCUCGAGUGGUAACCGUUAUUAUUGGGUCUAAAGGGUCUGUAGCCGGCCGGAUAAGUCUCUUGAGAAAUCUGGCAGCUUAACUGUCAGGCUUUCAGGAGAUACUGUCUGGCUCGAGGCCGGGAGAGGUGAGAGGUACUUCAGGGGUAGGGGUGAAAUCUUGUAAUCCUUGAAGGACCACCAGUGGCGAAGGCGUCUCACCAGAACGGACCUGACGGCAAGGGACGAAAGCUAGGGGCACGAACCGGAUUAGAUACCCGGGUAGUCCUAGCCGUAAACGAUACUCGCUAGGUGUCGGCCACGGUGCGACCGUUGUCGGUGCCGUAGGGAAGCCGUGAAGCGAGCCACCUGGGAAGUACGGCCGCAAGGCUGAAACUUAAAGGAAUUGGCGGGGGAGCACCACAACGGGUGGAGCUUGCGGUUUAAUUGGAUUCAACGCCGGAAAUCUUACCGGGACCGACAGCAAUAUGAAGGCCAGGCUGAAGACUUUGCCGGAUUAGCU
This 642-nucleotide ribosomal RNA is filed under the name uncultured Methanosaeta sp. Its description in RNAcentral is "bacterial SSU rRNA". It matches the Rfam family "Archaeal small subunit ribosomal RNA", at positions 339 to 981 of the family's 1478-position model. The record is from RNAcentral. Lineage: Archaea; Methanobacteriati; Methanobacteriota; Methanomicrobia; Methanotrichales; Methanotrichaceae.